CAGCAGCCGCGGUAAUACGAAGGGUGCAAGCGUUAAUCGGAAUUACUGGGCGUAAAGCGUGCGCAGGCGGUUCGUUAAGACAGAUGUGAAAUCCCCGGGCUUAACCUGGGAACUGCAUUUGUGACUGGCGAGCUAGAGUAUGGCAGAGGGGGGUAGAAUUCCACGUGUAGCAGUGAAAUGCGUAGAGAUGUGGAGGAAUACCGAUGGCGAAGGCAGCCCCCUGGGCCAAUACUGACGCUCAUGCACGAAAGCGUAGGGAGCAAACAGGAUUAGAUACCCGCGUAGUCCCUGUCUCUUAUAC
This 301-nucleotide ribosomal RNA is filed under the name uncultured bacterium. RNAcentral describes it as "partial 16S ribosomal RNA". It matches the Rfam family "Bacterial small subunit ribosomal RNA", at positions 509 to 807 of the family's 1533-position model. The record is from RNAcentral.